AUUGAACGCUGGCGGCAUGCUUUACACAUGCGAGUCGAACGGCAGCGCGGGCUUCGGCCUGGCGGCGAGUGGCGAACGGGUGAGUAAUGCAUCGGAACGUGCCCAGUAGUGGGGGAUAGCCCAGCGAAAGCCGGAUUAAUACCGCAUACGACCUGAGGGUGAAAGCGGGGGACCGAAAGGCCUCGCGCUAUUGGAGCGGCCGAUGUCGGAUUAGCUAGUGGGUGGGGUAAAGGCUUACCAAGGCGACGAUCCGUAGCUGGUCUGAGAGGACGACCAGCCAGACUGGGACUGAGACACGGCCCAGACUCCUACGGGAGGCAGCAGUGGGGAAUUUUGGACAAUGGGGGCAACCCUGAUCCAGCCAUGCCGCGUGAGGGAAGAAGGACUUCGGGUUGUAAAACGCUUUUGUUCGGGAAGAAAUCCUCUGGGCUAAUACCCCGGGGGGAUGACGGUACCGGAAGAAUAAGCACCGGCUAACUACGUG
This 484-nucleotide ribosomal RNA is filed under the name uncultured bacterium. Its description in RNAcentral is "partial 16S ribosomal RNA". It matches the Rfam family "Bacterial small subunit ribosomal RNA", at positions 29 to 507 of the family's 1533-position model. The record is from RNAcentral.